This 561-nucleotide ribosomal RNA is filed under the name Triticum aestivum (bread wheat). RNAcentral describes it as "partial small subunit ribosomal RNA". The record is from RNAcentral. Lineage: Eukaryota; Viridiplantae; Streptophyta; Magnoliopsida; Poales; Poaceae.
AUGUGCGUGGUCGGAGGCAUAAACAACUACACCGCCGCGCUCCAAGACUCCUCAAGCUCGUAUAAUCGGACGGAGAGCCUGCUGUUCCUGGCGCACUUCCUCGGCGACGUCCACCAGCCGAUGCACUGCGGCCGCACCGCCGACCUCGGCGGUAACACCAUCCUCGUCACCUCGUACAGCACAGCCAAGACCAACCUUCACAAGGUGUGGGAUGACAAGGUCAUCCAGAAGGCUCUGAGAAAGUUCUACAAGGACGACCUAAGCACCAUGAUCGACGCCAUCAAGCUCAACCUUACUGAAAAUUGGUCCACCGAAGAGAACCAGUGGGCGGCGUGCAGUACACAAACAACAACUUGUGCUGACAGGUACGCCGAGGAGAGCGCGGAGCUGUCGUGCCCGGCAUACGUGGGUGUUGAGCAGUACUCCAACUUAGAAGAUGAAUAUUUCUUCUCGGCGAUGCCGGUUGUUGAGAAGAGGAUUGCCCAGGGAGGCGUGAGGCUGGCGGCCAUCCUCAACCGGAUCUUCAGUGGGGAGAACAACAGCAGGCUGCAGAGCCUUUGA